UAGGGAAUCUUGGGCAAUGGGCGCAAGCCUGACCCAGCCAUGCCGCGUGUGUGAAGAAGGCCCUAGGGUUGUAAAGCACUUUCAGUCGCGAAGAAAUGCUUGAGGUUAAUAACCUCGAGCCUUGACGUUAACGACAGAAGAAGAUCCGGCUAACUCCGUGCCAGCAGCCGCGGUAAUACGGAGGGAUCGAACGUUAAUCGGAAUUACUGGGCGUAAAGCGCGCGUAGGCGGUUUGUUAAGUGGGAUGUGAAAUCCCCGGGCUCAACCUGGGAACUGCAUUCCAAACUGGCAGGCUAGAGUAUGGUAGAGGGAGGUAGAAUUUCCUGUGUAGCGGUGAAAUGCGUAGAUAUAGGAAGGAAUACCGAUGGCGAAGGCAGCCUCCUGGACCAAUACUGACGCUGAGGUGCGAAAGCGUGGGGAGCAAACAGGAUUAGAUACCCCUGUAGUCC
RNAcentral lists this ribosomal RNA (449 nucleotides) under uncultured prokaryote. Its description in RNAcentral is "bacterial SSU rRNA". It matches the Rfam family "Bacterial small subunit ribosomal RNA", at positions 355 to 796 of the family's 1533-position model. The record is from RNAcentral.